ACACACACACACACACACACACACACACACAACAGUAGAUUCAUUACAUUUUCACUUCAGCUGGAGGAUCAAAUGAAGAAGUGGAAUGAGGACCUUUGACAGGACUCGGGGUGCCAGUCAUAUUCACAGUUGCUAAUUAUUAACCAAACCAGCAUGUCAGUUUGGUUCAGUGUGUGCAUUUCCCCACACCUGCCAUUCUCCCCCUACAUACCACACAGUCUCAGACCUCCCCACCCUUAUCUUUCCCACAUCCACCUGCUCCUGUUUUACAUUCCCAAAUCGUCCCCACCUGCUGCCUCUCAUUAUCCCACCAGCUCUCUCUGUUUGCCAGUUCAUCCUGUCAGUUUUCCUGCCUGGUGUCUGCUCCCUGAGCUCUGGCGUGCUGCCUGUUAACGACCCGCCUGCUUUGCUCGUCUGGAUGUCUUUGCCUGUUGGACUGCCUCCUCCUGCCUGACUACCAGCUCCAUAGUCUGAACACUGAUUUGGAAUGGGAAACAACUUCUGAGCCCAUAAAGGAUGGGAGGUUUCCUGGAUGAGGUGUAAAGGUCAGCUUAGAAAAGAAUAAUCUUAACAAUGUGUUGUAAGACCACGUCAGCCAUGAGACUCAGAUGUGACGCUGGCCUUCAGGAGGAUCUGUCUAUGACCAAAGUGUAACUGCCAGAGCAUUGAACUGAGUCUGUUUUGACCAGUGAAGCUACUGGAAGCUGCUGCUGCUGCUGAGGAAGAUCCAAAAAGGAAUAAAUAAUGAAAAUGAAUGUGCUGCCUCAUUAUUUUCUUUAAGACUGGAACAAUAGUUGAAUUUCUUUUCUCCCUUGUGAAUAAAUCCAAGAAUAAGGACAAAGGUACAGAAAUACUGAACAAAGUGAACCAAGCUGAGGAUUCGGCCGGUGGAUGUGCAACUCCUGGUGCCUAACAAGCAUCUUGUUAACCAAUCCUGUCAGCCUGUCUUGCUCUCUUCUGUACCUUCCUCAUGACAUGAGGUCUUAUUUGAAAUAAAAAUGAAUGAGCAAGAA
Molecule: long non-coding RNA, 1013 nt
Organism: Epinephelus fuscoguttatus (brown-marbled grouper)
Lineage: Eukaryota; Metazoa; Chordata; Actinopteri; Perciformes; Serranidae
Exons: 4
Source: RefSeq, a predicted model, not a curated record